RNAcentral lists this ribosomal RNA (301 nucleotides) under uncultured bacterium. Its description in RNAcentral is "partial 16S ribosomal RNA". It matches the Rfam family "Bacterial small subunit ribosomal RNA", at positions 509 to 807 of the family's 1533-position model. The record is from RNAcentral.
CAGCAGCCGCGGUAAUACGAAGGGGGCUAGCGUUGCUCGGAAUGACUGGGCGUAAAGGGCGCGUAGGCGGCGAUCAAAGUCAGGCGUGAAAUUCCUGGGCUCAACCUGGGGGCUGCGUUUGAUACUUGAUUGCUAGAGUGGGGAAGAGGGUCGUGGAAUUCCCAGUGUAGAGGUGAAAUUCGUAGAUAUUGGGAAGAACACCGGUGGCGAAGGCGGCGACCUGGUCCUUGACUGACGCUGAGGCGCGAAAGCGUGGGGAGCAAACAGGAUUAGAUACCCCUGUAGUCCCUGUCUCUUAUAC